ACGGAAGGCAGCAGUGAGGAAUAUUGGUCAAUGGGCGGGAGCCUGAACCAGCCAAGUAGCGUGAGGGAUGACGGCCCUAUGGGUUGUAAACCUCUUUUGACAGGGAAUAAAGUGAGCCACGUGUGGUUUAUUGCAUGUACCUGUGGAAUAAGGAUCGGCUAACUCCGUGCCAGCAGCCGCGGUAAUACGGAGGAUCCGAGCGUUAUCCGGAUUUAUUGGGUUUAAAGGGAGCGUAGGCGGGAUGUCAAGUCAGCUGUGAAAUGUAGUCGCUCAACGUCUGCACUGCAGUUGAAACUGGUGUUCUUGAGUGCGUAAGAGGCAGGUGGAAUUCGUCGUGUAGCGGUGAAAUGCUUAGAUAUGACGAAGAACUCCGAUUGCGAAGGCAGCCUGCUGGGCCGCUACUGACGCUGAAGCUCGAAGGUGCGGGUAUCAAACAGGAUUAGAUACCCUGGUA
RNAcentral lists this ribosomal RNA (454 nucleotides) under uncultured bacterium. Its description in RNAcentral is "partial 16S ribosomal RNA". It matches the Rfam family "Bacterial small subunit ribosomal RNA", at positions 341 to 792 of the family's 1533-position model. The record is from RNAcentral.